This 439-nucleotide ribosomal RNA is filed under the name Neoprotoparmelia orientalis. Its description in RNAcentral is "eukaryotic LSU rRNA". It matches the Rfam family "Eukaryotic large subunit ribosomal RNA", at positions 425 to 884 of the family's 3401-position model. The record is from RNAcentral. Lineage: Eukaryota; Fungi; Ascomycota; Lecanoromycetes; Lecanorales; Parmeliaceae.
GCGACCAGACCUGCCCGGGGGCGAUCAGCCGCCGUUCUCGGCGGUGCACUCGCCCGCGAUCAGGCCAGCAUCGGUUUGGGCGGCCGGACAAAGGCCGUGGGAAYGUAGCUCCCUUCGGGGAGUCUUAUAGCCCGCGGCGCAAUGCGACCAGCCCGGAUCGAGGACCGCGCUUCGGCUAGGAUGCUGGCGUAAUGGUUGCAAGCGACCCGUCUUGAAACACGGACCAAGGAGUCUAACAUCUAUGCGAGUGUUUGGGUGUCAAACCCAUGCGCGUAAUGAAAGUGAACGGAGGUGAGAACCCGCCAGGGCGCAUCAUCGACCGAUCCUGAUGUCUUCGGAUGGAUUUGAGUACGAGCAUAGCUGUUGGGACCCGAAAGAUGGUGAACUAUGCCUGAAUAGGGUGAAGCCAGAGGAAACUCUGGUGGAGGCUCGCAGCGGU